ACUCCUGCGGGAGGCAGCAGUGGGGAAUUUUGGACAAUGGGCGAAAGCCUGAUCCAGCCAUGCCGCGUGCAGGAUGAAGGCCUUCGGGUUGUAAACUGCUUUUGUACGGAACGAAACGGCCUUUUCUAAUAAAGAGGGCUAAUGACGGUACCGUAAGAAUAAGCACCGGCUAACUACGUGCCAGCAGCCGCGGUAAUACGUAGGGUGCAAGCGUUAAUCGGAAUUACUGGGCGUAAAGCGUGCGCAGGCGGUUAUGUAAGACAGUUGUGAAAUCCCCGGGCUCAACCUGGGAACUGCAUCUAUGACUGCAUAGCUAGAGUACGGUAGAGGGGGAUGGAAUUCCGCGUGUAGCAGUGAAAUGCGUAGAUAUGCGGAGGAACACCGAUGGCGAAGGCAAUCCCCUGGACCUGUACUGACGCUCAUGCACGAAAGCGUGGGGAGCAAACAGGAUUAGAAACCCCUGUAGUCCCAU
This 472-nucleotide ribosomal RNA is filed under the name uncultured organism. RNAcentral describes it as "partial 16S ribosomal RNA". It matches the Rfam family "Bacterial small subunit ribosomal RNA", at positions 335 to 798 of the family's 1533-position model. The record is from RNAcentral.